RNAcentral lists this ribosomal RNA (468 nucleotides) under uncultured bacterium. Its description in RNAcentral is "partial 16S ribosomal RNA". It matches the Rfam family "Bacterial small subunit ribosomal RNA", at positions 28 to 507 of the family's 1533-position model. The record is from RNAcentral.
GACGAACGCUGGCGGCGUGCUUAACACAUGCAAGUCGAACGGAAAGGCCCUGCUUUUGUGGGGUGCUCGAGUGGCGAACGGGUGAGUAACACGUGAGUAACCUGCCCUUGACUUUGGGAUAACUUCAGGAAACUGGGGCUAAUACCGGAUAGGAGCUCCUGCUGCAUGGUGGGGGUUGGAAAGUUUCGGCGGUUGGGGAUGGACUCGCGGCUUAUCAGCUUGUUGGUUGGGUAGUGGCUUACCAAGGCUUUGACGGGUAGCCGGCCUGAGAGGGUGACCGGCCACAUUGCGCCUGGACUACGGCCCAGACUCCUACGCGACGCAGCAGUGGAGAAUAUUGCACAAUGGGCGGAAGCCUGAUGCAGCAACGCAGCGUGCGGGAUGACGGCCUUCGGGUUGUAAACCGCUUUCGCCUGUGACGAAGCGUGAGUGACGGUAAUGGGUAAAGAAGCACCGGCUAACUACGUG